GUUGCUUCCCUGAAUUUAAUCUGAGUGACCAAAUCAUGGGUUUUGGUCAUUUGUUUUGAGAAGCAUAUAUUGAGCUUUGUUAAAAGUACCAGCUUUAAACAGCAUAAUGGUUUUUGUCAAUAGCAUUGUGUUACCUGUCAUCUGGUACAUGA
Molecule: small nucleolar RNA, 152 nt
Organism: Cannabis sativa
Lineage: Eukaryota; Viridiplantae; Streptophyta; Magnoliopsida; Rosales; Cannabaceae
Product: small nucleolar RNA snoR137
Exons: 1
Source: RefSeq, a predicted model, not a curated record